AUUGAACGCUGGCGGAAUGCUUUACACAUGCAAGUCGAACGGCAGCACGGACUUCGGUCUGGUGGCGAGUGGCGAACGGGUGAGUAAUGUAUCGGAACGUGCCCAGUCGUGGGGGAUAACGUAGUGAAAAUUACGCUAAUACCGCAUACGAUCUAUGGAUGAAAGCGGGGGAUCGCAAGACCUCGCGCGAUUGGAGCGGCCGAUAUCAGAUUAGGUAGUUGGUGGGGUAAAGGCCCACCAAGUCAACGAUCUGUAGCUGGUCUGAGAGGACGACCAGCCACACUGGAACUGAGACACGGUCCAGACUCCUACGGGAGGCAGCAGUGGGGAAUUUUGGACAAUGGGCGAAAGCCUGAUCCAGCCAUUCCGCGUGCAGGAUGAGGGCCCUCGGGUUGUAAACUGCUUUUGUGCAGAACGAAAAGGUUUCUACUAAUACUAGGAGCUCAUGACGGUACUGUAAGAAUAAGCACCGGCUAACUACGUGCCAGCCGCCGCCGUAA
This 500-nucleotide ribosomal RNA is filed under the name uncultured bacterium. RNAcentral describes it as "partial 16S ribosomal RNA". It matches the Rfam family "Bacterial small subunit ribosomal RNA", at positions 30 to 523 of the family's 1533-position model. The record is from RNAcentral.